Molecule: long non-coding RNA, 11756 nt
Organism: Cygnus olor (mute swan)
Lineage: Eukaryota; Metazoa; Chordata; Aves; Anseriformes; Anatidae
Exons: 3
Source: RefSeq, a predicted model, not a curated record
UGAUGUUUAGCAUACAUAUAACCGCAAGAACCUAAUGUACACAGCUGCUUCACAAAGUCCUACUUGGUGAGACUAAAAAGACUGCCACGGGAACUAGCUACAACCUGGGACAAAGUUAAAAUGUCUGUUAUGGUCUGCAUUGGUAUCUUAGCAAUCAGGCUCUGUAACCUAAGGACAAACAGACGCCUAGCUCAAGCAAGAAGCUCAACUCCUAACUCUUCCUCUGUCGCUAAGGGAUAAACUCUCAUGUCUCCAUACAAACAUGCAAGCUUUUAAUUGCCCAAACUGUAUGAUACCACCAGUUCAGGGAUUAAAAAGGAGCCCAUGCACUGGUGGCUACUCAGCACUGAACUUCUCUAUGACAUCGCAGAAUUUAUUUCGCUAUUACUACCCGAAGAUAAUCACCGAGGAGUAGUUACACACACCUUUAUUACUUACGCCCCCCAAGGAGAAGCCACCCCUGCCCUAGUCACAAUUUGCCAAGCAGACAAUACAGAACAUGUAAGGAGUAAGCACAGAAACAUCGCUGCUUUAGCAGAGGAAAACAGCUCCUGUUCUGCUCCAUGGAGAGAGGUACAAACACAAAGCAGCCACAUCACAUGCAGGCAGCCACCGCUACAAGGCUUCAAACAGCUGGAUUCAAUCGAUACUGUAAGAGAGCCCGAGACACUGCCUGGCAAACUGCAUCUCCUCCCUGCCUCAUGCCCGUGCUGCAGAACCUCCUCCGAGCAAAUGUAGCCUCCUCCCUCUGGCUGCCUAACGCCACCACCGAGGCAGCUGUACUGAGGAAACAGCAUCUUAAGAAAACCUCGGGUAGUGUGCAAGUCAAAAUGGCACUGUAACUCAGGGCAAGGCAAAGCACCACCUUUAUUUUCCUGGUUUAUUCCUCAUGACAUGGAUGACAGUUCAUUUCAACUUCAAACACUCGACGCAAAGAGAUCCAUCAGACAACUGAAGGUGACUAGCUCAAGAACACCAACUGCUAAAAAUAUUUUAGGCUUUUUCUUGCAUACAAUUUAUCAUAAUAUCACCUAACAAUGAAAACAUACAUUUUUCACAUCAAAACCUGAAGCACCAGGUUUGGACAUGACUCCUUUAAGGCUGAAUAUUUGCUCUCAAGGUGGAUCUAGGAAGCUGUGAAAGCACCUAGGAGCCAGAGCAGGCGUAACUAGAAAUGGCCAGCCGAAGAUUCUUUCCUGAACUGCAGUCAGCUACCAAGUAUUAUAGUGCAAUACCCAAAUCAGGUGUGUAGUUUGCAAUAUAUAAAGUGACAAUGUGUUAAUAGAAACACUUCUUCCACCUUUAUCCUUUGAAAUGCACAAAAAGACCACAGCAGGCCAAGCUGAACCCAAGAAUCACAGAGAUUCCAAGUGUGCAAAUCAAAAGCUAGUGCCUGGGCUACGUAGUGCUGUCUUCAUGCAUCUUCUUUUCAUAAAGAAGUUAUUUCUAUUCCUUUUGAAGGAACCUGGAAAGCUGAAAGUAAGAUAUAAAAGCAAUGCUGAAAGACUACAAACCAUGAAUGACAAUCAAAGUCACGGGGCACAGCCACUCUAGGAGCUGUCUCCUUCCAAACUAUAAAUAACAUUUUCCUUUAAGUCUGUUGCACACAUCUUCUGAUCACUGGAGGCUCAUUCCAACCAUACAAGCUUUUAUAGGUAAAUUCAGUACAAAGGUCUGAUGGGGAGAAGUCGCUGUGUUAUAUUACAGCAUGUUAAUUUGAACUACGUGAAAUAAAGGCAAGGUGCAAUUUUAAUUCCACGCAACAGAGAACUCCAAAUACAAGAGAUAGACGUGAGGAGUGGUCAAGGAAAUCCAGAAACUGGCUGGCAAGCACAGUAAAGAAAGAAUGUGGCAACAAAGCAAAGUCUGAAGACAGAAAUGCAGCUAGAAAUUAGCAUUCAAGCUUUCACUUCAAAAUCAUCUGGAUUUUUUGGACAUAACACAAGAACACAAUAGACGCCUUUAAGUUAUCUAAGUACAAUCACGUCUAGCCUCCAGGACAAAGCUCAGCACAGACAAACUUACCCUGCCUCUCAGGCCCUACAAGUCUUAUGCCACCACUUUCCCUGUGGCAAAAGCCUUCUACCCCUCCAUCAAUUACAAAGACUUUUUUCCUCGCCUAAUAAUAGGAGACAGAUUAAAAAAAAGACCAACCUAGACAACAAAUCUUUCUCAAUAGCUCAACUUCUUCAGAUUAUAUGGCAUAGAGAUGGAAGAAAAAAAAAGAAGUAUAUUGUAGUGACCUCCAAAAUAGCUAAGGGAGAUCCUGGAAAGCAUCAGCACCACUCAAAGAACUUUGCCAUAGUUCUCCUCUCAUCUUCACUCACGUUUCCUUCUGUGUAGGAAGUUUCCACUAGCACAAACACGGAGAUAACAUUACAAAUUCACCCGUUCAGCCUACGUUGCUUGUGAAGGCUGGAGAUGCCAGCCUCGGUGACUGCAGAAUUUUCACAUUAGUCCUCCCACUAUUGCCGCGUGUAUAAAGGUAAAGCUAUAGAUACCACAAAUUGCGCAUUUUCAAGCAGGUUGAUGCAAAACCUCUGCUACAGAAAGAACAUUAACCUGCAGAAAAAACAACACUGGUGAUUUCACAACCCAAACAGAAAUAGCUUUACAGAGCCAGAAGUAGUUACAGAGGACCCCCAAAGGUUUCAGUAACAGCAGGGACUCUCAGACGUGCGACUCCUAUUAUGUUCAGUAAUUUUUAUGGUGCUUAAGUAAAUGCUAAUUCUUACAAACUUCCUAAUGCAAGGAUUAUUGUUCAGCUGUCAACAUUUCAACAUUGUGGUGAACGCACUGUCUCAUUUCAGUACUUGAUCAAAAUGGAGUGCAAACAAAAAAAAGAUUGCUAUCGCAGCCUAGGCUGCACAGCUUGGCUUGUGCACGCAGAGAGCAGAAUGCUACAGGAUUCACAAGAACAGUUUGGGAAAAAGAGGAAGGGGAGUGUUGUUUUUCCCUAACAGACUAAGGGUUAGUUUACAGUGACUAAAGACCAGGACCAGCAGUCUUUUAUAACUAGCUGUAGUGCUCAGGAUGUUAUCACGGAAACAGAAGACAAAAACAUCCUUCCUUAAUCUCAAACUCUAGCCACACUUAACUUGGAAGCAGUGAAGAACACGGCAUUUUGUCAGUUUUUUGUUGUGCCAUGUGGAUUAGUUUACCCAGGUAGAGCGGGGAUGAUCACCUGUUUGCAAAUGAGCAUCUUUCCUCAUUGAAUUUUAUUUAAAAAGUAAACAGAUGAGCACUGUUUGAUUUAGCUAUUAGCAGGGUCCCAGGAGAGGAACCCCCAGUGAAGCACACAAGCUGAAGAACAGGCAAUGCUCUGAAGCCUAGAGAGCUCGGGCAUCCUCUGCUCCUUCAGUGAUGAAAGAAAACAGACUUGAAUUCUGAGUAAAAUCCUGCUAUAUUUGCAAAAUGUUCAAAAUCCGCCCCCCCAAAAUAAACCAAAUGCAUAUAUGGCCAUCUGUACAUAAAGAACAGAAUAUACAUUGCCUUAAGCAUCCAAAUAAAUCCUCGAUUUUGAGAAGAAAACUGCUUUUAUGUAGUGGCCAGAAUAAGGUCUCCUAGUUUCUAUUCCUGGAUCUGCUGCAAAUACAAAUGCUCUAAGUGCCAGGCCCUCUUAAAAGAGGGGCUGUUUCCAGCUAUCCCUUCAAAUUUAGCAGCAUGGAUACCAGGCACACAACACGUCUGUUAUCACAGGCUCCUGACUAUUUACACAAGUACAACCAACUACAACUUUUCAGGAUUUUAAUGAAAUCAUAAGGCUUUUGUAAGAAAUCUUGGCACAGCCUCUGAGGGAUGAAGGUCAAAAGUCACUCUGCCAGUAAAUAAUAAUAAAAAAGCUGUCAAGCAUUCCAGUGCGCGCGUUGCAGUUGCUUUCAGACUUCACAAAGACACACUGCAGAAAUACCAGCAGUGGUCUUUUUGUAGUUUGCAAGCAUAUCGAAAUCAUACAUUUCGCAUUUACGCAACUUCUCUUCAGUAAUCACGCUGCUCUGGUGUAACUCCUGACUUCAUGGCGUGUGCGUAUCAACCAGAAUUGAAAAAGGUAACAAAGAACAAGCAAUCAUAAUGUGCUCGCCGUUCCAGCUGCGCCUGCCCUUUCAUGGCUUUACCACACAAAUGCAGCAGGUCACACAGUAAGUUUGAAAGAUAUCCUGAGAAAGUACAUGUGUACAGCAGUCCCAGGUCAGACUAGAUUCAGUUCGUCAAAUUCAUUUGCUUUGCGUAACAAUUUUACCUGCAUACGAUACAGUUUCUAUUUGCACGUCUCCUAUUUUGUCCUAGUAUCUCUUACCAAAAUGUACAAUCAGAGAAUUUAUUCUUCACCAUCUCUAAGGAAGUAGAAACACCUAUAACCGCAACAGGAACAAUUCCUCUGUGAAUACCCACAACACAACUAGGACCAACCUUGCAAUUUGUCCCACACGUUGCCUUUAACACACUACAGCAGCCACACGACUAAAACAUCCACUACAGGACAAGAAACGGAUCGCAUUUCACUGAAGAACAGUGUAUUGCAACAGCUAAAACCAGCCCUUAAUCAUCUCAUGCUUGGUACCUCUAAUUCUCUACAGAUAUAAAAUCCCCCAAACUCCUCCACCCAGAGUGAAAGAUGAAAAAUGUGGGGAUGAAGACAGCCUUGCUUUCUAUUCCAAACAGAGUAUGUGUACCAUCGCCUCGGAUAUAUUUCAUUGUCCAAGAAACCACGAAGUCCAACACUCCACAUCUGUACCAGUGGUCCUAAUCAAGCCCUUCUAGCACACAAACUCAAGGCACUUACUGACUACUUUUAACCAGAUGGGAUUAGUUAUUUCUUGAGCAGUAUCAAGCAAUUGAUCCCUGUAAGAGGUGCCCUAUUACAUCAGUUCUACUGUUUGUACACAAUGGAGUUGCUAUGAUACACAGGUAGUCACAGGUUAAAGCCUAAAAGGAUGCACUGCAGAAGAUGAACAGCUUACAAACAGCUGGGUAACGCAAACCUUCCCAGCACGUGCCUGCAGACAAUCCAAGUUGGAUAACGCUCAGCCCAUUUUGCAACCCUCAAAAAUACCACACCACGUAAGGCAACUCUGCCUCAGUGCUGGAAAAGCUGGUCAGGAGGGAACAAGAGGAAUAGGCAGAACAACCUGGACACUAUCAGUCUUGGCUCAGAAGUUUAGGAUGUGGGACUAGAAGGCAGUUUUACAGUUGUCCUGCAGACUCUAAAUCAGACAGCAGUGCUUCAUGGCCAAGGCCUUACAUGCACUGAGUGGAAUAAUCUGCAUGUUGAAGUAGUAUUACUCCUUUAUCUGUACAUCUCAUUGUGAGUUUUGCUUGUCUUAAGAGCAUGACCUCACCUUGAUUUCAAUCAGUUUUCCACUGUAUUGCUUGGGGUAUUUUCAGAGGAACUGAUACCUUGCUAGUUAUUCCCCAUCCUGUGUUGGUGCAGUUGAUUAUUUCUGCCCACGCACGUGGCAGUACAUUAAUCCUUGCUGUACAUCUUCCUGUUUUUUUUAAUGUACUUCUUCAAACCGUCAAGAACAUUUUAAAUUCUAUCUUCCACAUACAUAAGCCCAACUCAACUAAUCAUUGCCACAAAUAUUAUAAGCAUGCUCUAUUUCAACAUUCAUCUUAUGAAUACAGUAUUAUCAUACUCAAUAUUGCAGAAAGAUACUCAGAGCCUUCAAGUGUGACAGCGAAGCACCGCUACUUAAGCUAGAUUGUGGUUUUCUAAAUAUUUUUACAAUCCUUCCCAUAACAACUCUCAGGUCUCCCUGGUUGCUUAUAAAACAGGCUGUCAAUGUCAGUUGACUACUAGACUUGGUAUUCAAGGAUGCAUGGGUGCUUGGACGUUUAAGUGACAACAACAUGCCCCCAAUGACAUUAGGGAAACUACAGCCUUGAAGUACUUCACUGAAAAUUUGGAAAAAAAUAAAGAAAAAAAUGCACAUGCCUCGCACAAGCAGACUACUGGGUGGGAAGCAAGACAGAUACCAGCGCUUCAACUGUCUGCUACAAAAAAAUCCAGAAGGAAAAAAUGGAAAGGUUGCCCAAAACAGCUACCGAGAAGCAACUGAAUUUCGGUGGGAAAGAAAAUGAGAAACACUACCUGCUACAUUUUAAAGCACACUAAGAGAAGAUACAAGCAAUAAAGGCCUUAAAGAAAAGUUUCAAGAGUGAUCAAAACAGACUUUUUUGUUUUAAGGAAGUAAAUCAACUUGAUCUGCAGCUUCUCUAGCUGGCUUUUCCAGUGAAAAUGCAAUCACAAGUACAGAAGCAGAAGGUCUAGUAAGCUUCUGAAGAUCAAGACAAGAGGUGAAUUCCUGUUAACUAGACUACCAGCAACAUUACCAGGAAAAGAAGUCUUCCAGUGUAAUUUUAUCUUGUAAAAUAUAUGCCGUACUAAAGAAAAAACUAAGAUUAUCUAAAUGCAUGGGUUUGUUUAAACUGGUUUAUUAUAUGGUAUGUAUUCAAAAGCAUAAGAUUUUACAGUGUGGACAAGUUAACAGAGCAAUAAAAUCCUUAAAUUUUACUGCAUCUGUUUUUAAAAUGUAAAGGCUUAGGAUUCUACUAGCAUGGAUUUUGGCAUUUAAUAUAGAUUGCUUAAUAUUUUAUAGCAUUGCAAAGUUUAAAGAAUGUGAAACAGUCUUACUCAGCUCUUUGCCAGAAAGAUAUCAGGAAUAAGCAAUAUUUGACAAUUAAUUAUCUAUAGAACAAAGUCGCCCAGGUCAAGAACACCUAAUAUCUUGUAUUAAAAAAAGACUUCAAAAGUAAUGCAACAUUUUAGUUACUCUGAUAUUUCUGAACUUUAUGUUUUGCAUCUCUUAUUGCUGGCCCUCAGAAAUAUAUUUAAGUUACACCUUGAGAGGCGGAACCAAACAGAGCUAUAAGUCAAAAUCUAGAUGAGCUAAGCCUGCAUCCAUGAAGGAGGAUGCCUGCAGUCAUCUCUCUCAAAACAGCAGAGAAAUUUUUAACACUGAUACUGCAUGCAUAUCUCGACCUCAGUAUUAACAAUCUUGCUAGUUAAUUCACGCUUCCAAGCACGAAUUCCCACCCAAGUAGGAACUCCGAGUCUAUGCUACCAGUUUGUAGAGGCUACAUGCCUGGCAGCAGCACGGAGAGUUGGUUUAUGCACUCACUGCCGUGUGGCUGCACCCUCCCACACGCACCCCAUGCAGUGGUAACAGGCACUUGUGUAGCUGAAGAGACUGGGGAACUGAUCUGACUGCAAAACAGCUUAGGGAGGCGGUGUUUGACAGCUGGACGACUCACCUGUCUCAGUUGACUGGUCGGCUACACAGACACCUACACCAGCAAGCGCAGGGUACGAGUCUGGAACUGAAGCAAGCGGCUGAGAAGGAAAGGAGGGGAUAUAGGGUAGGACUGCUUGAGCAGUGAAGGAAGGACUCUUCAUUCCAGUUUCAAAACACAUAAAAAAGCCUGUUCUACAGUUCUUGCAACAAACAACCAAAAAACUUACAUAUGCAAGGCUUAAUAGUCCCACUUGCUUCAAGCUUUAUCUAGGCAGAGUUAAGCAGAGAAGGAAGAGCAGACAUGAGGUGGACAGGAGUUCAGGAAGGAGCACGCGCAUGGUCCUGCAGAGGCACAACAGACUCAACUGACUGUGAGUGGGAGGAAGGGAAAUAGGGAAGCACAAGUGAGGGACUCAGCUGAGGCUUACAAAGACAUUUGUCUUCUGAUAAUAGGCUCAUUUGGGUAAGUGCUCUGGCAGCUGCUGUCUUUUUUUUUUUUUUUCCUUCUCUUCCACCCCCCCAAGCUGUACACAAAUGGAAGGAAGCUGGGGCCUUUAAUGGAUAAAAUGGGAAGAAAAGUUACUUUCAGGUCAGGCAGCCAGGCUAAGCUAAGCCUCAUACUGAUCUUGCUGAGAGAUGAAGAUUUACGCAGCACAGACAGCUAAACCAGACUUCAUGCACGGAAAUAGCUAUCACGUUCAGGGACACUUGCAAGAAACACUGGUGAGCUGAUCAAGCUUUCCCCCCUGCUCCAUACUUUUGAUAUGACAGCUGUUAGUCCUUCUGACAAGUUUAAUUCUUUAAGGGUUACAUCACUGACAUGCACAGUGAAAGUCCCUUCCACCCAACUACACGCUGUGAAACUGCACACAUGGGAAAGAGUGGGGAUUUGUGACUAGAUGUUUAAAAAUCAGGUGUUAAUACCAAUGCACAAACCCCAAACCUGACUGAGAUAGCAUACUGUAAUCGACACUCGCUUGACAUCUUUUCCACAGCAACUGAACUAUCACCAUUUGUUGCACAUCUAAGACACACACGUACUUCCUGCCACUCCCUAGAGCUUAUUCUGCAAUUUGCAUCUGAAAGUACAGAAAAAAGUCCACUGCCUUGAGCCAGCUGCCCCAGGUGUCAUCACUGUUCAGCUCAGCCCCCAGGUGCAAGGGCUGAUCCUUUGGGCCACUGAAGCUGAAGUCUGCCAUUUCCUGGAGCACUACAACUGAUUGACAGCAGCAAUCUAAGAAUAACGUUAUCACCAUCUAUCUGAACUGCAUUUUCCCCAACUUCAAAAUGCAUCUAGAACUCCCCACCCGUGCUUUUCGAUCUCUUUCCUACUUAAAGUGAAGAAAACGGUGCUGAAAUAGCAUUUUGAGAUGAAAACUGAAAAUUACUUCCAAGAAGUCUGCAUACGAUACGAUUUUCUGAGCAAUCACUGCAAAGCAACUCCAGUGCUCUGGGAGGGAUCUGAAAAUCCUUCCACGAACAACUGUCAAUCUGCACACAAAAAAGCUGUAUUUCUUACUGUUGUUAGGCAGGGCAACAGAGCAGCUGCAUCUGCACCUUUGGGAAAGUAUAAUUUGGCAUUAGCCAUAAAAUUUACCAGGCACACUGAUGUAAAAUGCUAUAAGCACUUACGGGACAGAAGAUACACCUCUUUAUUAAGCAGACGUGACACGUGCUUAAGAGUGGAAAAAAUUAACAUGAGAUAAUUAGACCAGAACGAGAAUUUAAAAUACUGCACUAAGCCCCUCUAUUUUUCUACUAUGUUACAAAAAAAUCAGCCUCCCGUGUCGAGGCUAUGUGAAUCUUUCAGAUGUAAGGCUUACUGCAGUUGACUUCUACCAACAGAUAUCACAAACUGAAGAUUUGCCUCAGCGAUGCAAAGCUUCCCCAACUCCUGCAUAAAAAACUCUAGCAGAGUCAUAGUCCUUGUGUGUGGAUACAACCCUUUAAUCAGACUGACUGCAAUCCAUCCCUUGCUUUGACAAGUGUUAAAAUUGGGAGGGAAAGGAGGGAGCUCUACAUUUACUGUGCUCAUUUGAAUCAUCCUUCUCUUACAACAGGCCAGACAUGACUCACAGCAAAUGUCAAAGUCAACGAAACCUCGACAUCUUUACUUUUGCUUCCGCCCUUUACAGUUCCUCCCAGAAGUCAUUCCUGGGGGAGUGUCAGAGCAGCAGCCUAACUUACAUCACCAUCUAUUCCCCUUUCCUCCUCCAGUACCCCAAAUGGAACAGGCAUGCUAUCACUAAGCCAACUCAUGUAAUUCUUUAUUCUUUGCAAUUUCCUACCUCUCAUUUGAAAAACAAAUACUUCACUGUUAUCUAAAACUGUAUUAAAACAUUGCCAGCAACUCAGCACUCAAAGCAAAACAACCAUCACCACCCAGCGCGAACGCACAAUAGAAGCAGCAUUUUUGGUACGAAGGCAAAUUUUGAGAGUUCUUGGGAACAGCAAGAAAAAUAGUUCUAGCUACGAAAAGAAAGGGCUGCUCUAAAAACCACCAAGAGAACGCUGCUCUGCCAUCAUGAGACUCAGCCAAACAUAUAGCCCCAGGACAGGGAUGAAAGACUGCACUUUGACAGCAGAGAGCACAUCUAGUAGCAACGCCAGCUUAAGGUAUGCCGAUCCGACCCCCGUGCCAAAACUUGUCUCCCCCCAGUGCAGCUAGCACAACUGCUGUUAGACCAAAUCAAAAGACUCCACCUUAGCUAAGCCAGAAAACAAAAACAAAAAACCCACACGCAAACAAAUCUUGAUAAAAUCUCCUCUCCCCACUGCUGGCUCUCUUCCCUGACCUCGUUCACAGUACCAAACAUUGGCACUAGCACCAGUAAGAGUGACACACAAAACAGAAUGCCCUGAGACAGUGUUGCCAAGCUGUUUGUGAAAGACAUGUCCCCAAGGCAGUGGUUCCACAAAUGAACCUUGGGGCAGAGCCUGGUUGAGCUUUCCCCCAUACCUUCUUUCCACUGGCCAUUCAUUCUCAUCUCUGCACUAUUCAUCCCCACCCGGUAAUGGCCAAAGCAUUGGAGAACUUGGUCACGUCUGAACAGGGUGAAGAAAAGAUCCAUGAUUUGCAAGGGUUACAUUUCCUCCAAAUAUACGCAGUUCCAAUGGACUUCACUCCCUUACGUGAACCUUGCAUCAACACAGCACAGGAAUUCGCAACUAGAGGAAAAACUGAAGAGGUCUCUGUAAUACAAGACAAAGUCUAAAUAAGAAUCCUACACCCAGUGUAUUUUAGGCAGUUGGGGCAGCAGCUUAAGGGAUGUUCCUGCAUUGCAUGCUGCUUCUCUCUACUAAGAAAAAACAGGUGUAACAAUACAGACUGUUCUACACAAAGGUUAAUUUAGAUGACCUAUAACAAUGACAGAACACAGAAGGAACUUGCUUCCUUCUGUCCCAGCUUUGUUUGAUGUACAAACACAUCUUUUGCCUUUCCAAUUUUCCCUCUCCUGUAAAUGCAGCUUCAGGAUUGUAACUGGCAAAUAUAUCUGGUGUUCAAAAACAACCAAAAGAACAGUCAGAGCAAUGCUCAAAAGCUUUAGAAGAGCUCCCUGCAGCAUCUAACCUACAAGUCCGUCAGUCUAGUACAACACAAACUCAAAUAUCCUAUGAACCUGUUCCAACAGGAGUUAAACACAAAUCUCUUCAGUAAGUCAGAGAAUCGUAUUUGCUUUUCAACUCCCUCCACCCCAUCAGCAGCUCGCUGUCAGUUAGUUUUCCUUAUAUUUGCAGGCUAGAAGAGGCAAUAGCAUUUAUUUCAUAGCUGAUGCCUGAAGCCGUGCAGAAAGGCCAGAGCUUCCUCAACUUUAAGACAAAGACCUCUUGUAAUCUUCAAAGCCCACCUGAAAGUAUUUGCAUUGGUGCUCUCAGUAAAACUAUCAGCCCAGUGCAGAGAAGAGUCCCUUUAGCACAGACUAGAAAGUUAACCCUUGGCGAUCAAAGCUGACCUCCCAGUAACACCAGUGAAAUUGAGCUGUACAAUUCCCCAGCUUUUCAGUAUCUAUGUUCCAAUUCAGUUAUCCCUCCUUCAUUUGAAAUACGUGGCUGCAUAUUUUCCAGCAUCUUGUAUUAGCUUAUGUGUAAUUGAAAUAAGGUGAGGAAAUGCUCCACUAAGUUUUGUAUCUGUGUCAAACACUGGGACAAAGAUCUGAAAAAUCCCUUUUCUAUUGAGAAAAGCUAGGAGAAAGAUCUACAUAUCAUGAACAGAGGACCCCAGAACUAAAAAGUAUUAAACUGAAAAUGGAAUUCUUAACCAUUACUCUGGUGUUGUUAUAUAUAGCUGGCAUUUCAACCUUUAUAACUUAGAAAAAAAGUUGAUUUCCUCAUGAUUUUAGACAGCCUUUUCAGACAACAGCAACAAAGUUUAUAACUCGAGGAAAAUCUUUUAAAGUUUGAUUACUUCCGGAUGAUACAGACAUUCAACCCAAAGUUUGCAGAACAUGCCUUAACUACCUUUUCACUACAUUUCUCUGUCAAAGAAAGAGUUAAAACCAGAACAUUUUCAAAUCUGGAGAC